CAUGGCUCAAUGGUUAGUGCACUGGUCUUGUAAACCAGGGGUUGUGAGUUCAGAUCGCGCUG
RNAcentral lists this transfer RNA (62 nucleotides) under Salmo salar (Atlantic salmon). It matches the Rfam family "tRNA", at positions 6 to 65 of the family's 71-position model. From Rfam's summary of the family: Transfer RNA (tRNA) molecules are approximately 80 nucleotides in length. Their secondary structure includes four short double-helical elements and three loops (D, anti-codon, and T loops). The record is from Rfam by way of RNAcentral. Lineage: Eukaryota; Metazoa; Chordata; Actinopteri; Salmoniformes; Salmonidae. RNAcentral also lists the same sequence under 1 other name.